CGAGGUCAUCCGAGCAGUAACAACGAACCGUGAGAAGUCAGCAGAGGUCAUAGUAACCGGGAAGGGAAAAAAACAUCGACAACCUGGUGAAGGAC
Molecule: non-coding RNA, 95 nt
Filed under: Macellibacteroides fermentans
Lineage: Bacteria; Pseudomonadati; Bacteroidota; Bacteroidia; Bacteroidales; Porphyromonadaceae
Source: RNAcentral